AUCUGGCUGGCUCAGUCAGUAGAGCAUGUGACUCUUGAUCUCAAAGUUGCAAGUUAAAGCCCUAUGUUGGGUA
Molecule: transfer RNA, 73 nt
Filed under: Canis lupus familiaris (dog)
Lineage: Eukaryota; Metazoa; Chordata; Mammalia; Carnivora; Canidae
Also listed under: 1 other name
Rfam family: tRNA
About the family: Transfer RNA (tRNA) molecules are approximately 80 nucleotides in length. Their secondary structure includes four short double-helical elements and three loops (D, anti-codon, and T loops).
Source: Rfam by way of RNAcentral